This 24-nucleotide non-coding RNA is filed under the name Arabidopsis thaliana (thale cress). Lineage: Eukaryota; Viridiplantae; Streptophyta; Magnoliopsida; Brassicales; Brassicaceae. The record is from RNAcentral.
CCGGAUCCGCCCAAGUUCUAAUUG